CCGAAUAACGCAAAUAAAGCCUGCCUGUCCUCCAUCGCUGUUGGAUGUAAGUAGAGCCCUGCCUUAAGAGAGAAAGAGAGAGAGGUGGAAAUGUGUUCGUCUUCUUCUUCUUGUCUAUUCUCUUCGACGUUUCCACUCCGUGCUGCUGCUGCGAAGCCUGUUGGAUUCAACUCUCAUCCCCUUACGCUCGCUGCUUCUGCUUUCUGACGGGGGCUUGAUAUGCUUUUACGUGCCACAUGAAGACGGGACUAUGGCGCCACACCGACUUAGCUAGCACCGGGUCGGAUCAGGUCGGGUUGGGUCGGGUCGGGUCGGAUGAGAUCGGGUCCGGCCAAGUCGGGCCGGGCCGGGUUGGGUGGGGCUGGGCCGGGCCAGGCUGGGCAAGGCUGUGCUGAGCUGAGCUUUAGGCGAUAGUGCAGGAGGAGCCAAGCAGUGCGACAAUGGGCGAAGUAAGUGAGUGAGUGAGUGAAUCAGAUUUUGCAAGUUACGGGCAUCUCCUCCUCCUCCUCCGGGGCCGCAGCCUCGUAUUCGGGAAGGAGGGGGGUUGCAGGGAUGAUGAGGAUACAGGGCAUGAGUGGGGGGAAAUAGACACACAUUAGUAGAGGCCUGGUGGUGGAGAUAACGAGGUGAAGGAAAAGAAGAAGAAGCAGAAAGAAAAGGAAGAAGACCUCUUUUACUGAGAAGAAGAAGCCUAGUGCAAGAGAGCUACUACUGGAGAGUGGUAAGGUGAUGGUUUGUAGGGGGUGGCGGUGGUGGUGGCUGCGGCGACCGCCUUUUAAACAUUUGGUCCCCUUUGCUGUGUACCUACCUCUUGUUCGUGUGCAUGUUUUGUCUUUUUCUUUUUUCCUUUUCUUCUGUCCCCUUUUUUCUUUUUCUUUUCCUUGGAUUUUUUUUUUGGGGGGGGUGUGCAUGCGGAUGUUUUGCAUCACAAAACAUGUGACGUGAGUCAUGCACACACCCAUCAUCAAACAUGAAAAUGGGUUGUGCAUUUGGACAAACAAACAAA
Molecule: long non-coding RNA, 1006 nt
Filed under: Physcomitrium patens
Lineage: Eukaryota; Viridiplantae; Streptophyta; Bryopsida; Funariales; Funariaceae
Description: long non-coding RNA (PPAT_LNC006315)
Source: RNAcentral